UGUCACAGCACCCAGCAUCAGCAGGCACCGGCCACCAGGGUCCCAUCUGCCCUGGAGACCUCCUGCAGAGAAGCUCUCAUCUCUGCCCCUGGCCAGGGGCUCAAGACAGAGUGACAGCUUUCAGGGCAUAACCAGCAGGGCCCUGCAGGCACCAGUGCCGUACAGCAAGCUCUGGACCAGUGCACAGUCCGGUCUGCUAAUGGAUGUCCCAGAUCAGUUCUUGUGGCUCCUGUUUCUUGGAGCUUGUGGCUGCUCUGGUUGUAGAAGCUGCAGCUGAUGCAUUCUUCAAGGCCACAUUCCAGAGUAAGCUUCAGCUAAUUCCAUCUCCACCUAACUGACAUUGCUUCUUUCGUUAUAAGCCAGUUGAAACUCCAGUUAAAUAAAAGCUCGUGUUUGGCUAAUUCUACCUCCAGCUAGUUCUGAUCAAUCACUGUCAUAACUUACAUAAUAAUAUGAUCUGUCAUAAUCUUACAGGAGUAGUAUUUCUGGACAAGGCGUAGAUAUUAAAUAAAGAGCAGGG
Molecule: long non-coding RNA, 520 nt
Filed under: Gallus gallus (chicken)
Lineage: Eukaryota; Metazoa; Chordata; Aves; Galliformes; Phasianidae
Source: RNAcentral